Molecule: microRNA, 21 nt
Filed under: Heligmosomoides polygyrus
Lineage: Eukaryota; Metazoa; Nematoda; Chromadorea; Rhabditida; Heligmosomidae
Description: hpo-miR-10071-5p
Source: miRBase by way of RNAcentral
AUUCAUCAGCGACUAACCCGC